RNAcentral lists this long non-coding RNA (4313 nucleotides) under Arabidopsis lyrata. Its description in RNAcentral is "long non-coding RNA (ALYR_LNC001760)". Lineage: Eukaryota; Viridiplantae; Streptophyta; Magnoliopsida; Brassicales; Brassicaceae. The record is from RNAcentral.
CGAUCUUCAUCUCUCAAUUCUCAUAUCACCAGUUUCUUAAUGAAAAGUUGUCAUAUACGUCUAAAUCAUAGAUCAAUUCCCUUCAAAACUAAAGAUAAAUGGGAUGCAAAUAUUUACCUUAACAAAAAAUAUCAAUGGUAGAGAAUUUAAGAGAUACAUAAGAAGUGAGUAACAGAGCGCCAGAAACAGUAUUAGAGAUCCUGAAACCGUGAAAGUAUUAAUUAAAUGAGAGUAACAUGGUUUACGUAAACCAGAAUCGUUAGAUUUAAUUGAUGUAAACCGAGUCAAAGUCUCUACAUAAAGCAGAGUCUUGGAACAUCAACUAUCCUGUGUUUUAUCUGUGGACAACCAAAAUAAGUCGGUUUGACAAAUUAGGGAUCAAAAAUCAAACUAGUAAAGGCCCAUUGGAAAACGGGAACAAGAGUUUCGUUGGAUAAAUAGAAUAGUAGCCUAGGGUUCUUCGGUUGUCACGAGGAUUUUCCGUUUCCUUGUAUUUCAAGCUAGCGUUAGACCUCCACAAGUCGUUCGUUGUUCUCCGCUUCUUAUUUCAAACCCUAAGUACUCAUUCGCGUUACCCACUCCUCUUCUUUUCCUUGAACCUCAAGGUUUUAAAGAGAAAGACUUUGUUGCAUAAUGACACCAACACAUGAUUUGUACCGCAGCUUGCCAUAUUGAACUGAGACCAACAGAAAACAUUUGACGUUUAUGAACAGAGACUAUAAUGACCUUUCUGUGAUAGCCUCUUCAUAGUAUUCAUGUGACAGCCUCUUCAUAUGAUCCAUGAUUGCAUUGCAGGCCUGGACCCUUUUUAACCCCCAAAAAUAUUAAUCACCCACUUGAAAACCAAGCUAGGUUCUGGAUGUUUACUCCACCACCAAAUCGUUAAGUUUCUCAUUUGUUGGAAGAAUUGGAAUGAGAAGAAACGAGUUUAUAUGUGACAUAUGGUCUUUCUCUUCCAACAAUGCCACACCGCAAAAUAGCAAAUCAUACACAGAUUGGAAAAAAACAAUUUCUUUAUACCCUCUUCCACAGAUUUAUACUUGAACCGUCACCGCUUGGAAAACUUGAUCUUUUUGUUUUUCAUUGGAAUAAACCAAAUCGGUCUGCAACAACCGCUCAUUCACCAUUAAAAUCUGUUCAUACACACACAGCUUGUUGUCCAUGUCCAAAAGAACACACAAAAACAUAAUUCUCAAAUUCGUCAAAGACAAAUUUCAACUUUUUUCCAAAACUAUGAAAAUCAAAUAAAUAACUUAGGAAUGUCGAUUUGAGAUACCAAGAUACACUACAAAAAAUAUGAGUAUUGAUAACACAUUAGCAUAGCUCAAUUUUCGUAACUAACUGCUAUUAAAAAAAUAUGUUGGAUAUGACCCCUGUUCUAAAAAUCCCCGCCUAGCCCCGAUUACUCCCCGUUUAAUCGCUAGGUCCACCCUCUCCGCCUCGAUUAAUGACUAAUCCCCUAAAAAAUCAGUAACCCGAUUAUUCUCCGUCUAAUCCGAUUAUUUCCCGCCUAAUCCGAUUAUUUCCCGCCUAAUCUUACAUACCCCGAUUAUUUUUUAGAUUACAAGUAUAAAAAAAAACAUUUUAUUUUUGUUAUUCAAUCAUUUGAAUUGGGAGUUUGUGAUGUUUUACAUAACUUGUGUUCAAAUUUUAAUAAAAAUCAUAAAAAUUUGUUUUUACUGUAAUUUUGAAAACAAUAUUGAAUUAAUAUAUUUUAAAAAUAUUAAAAUAACCCUAAAACUAAUCCCCGAUUAAUCCCCGAUUUUAAUCCGAUUUUCCGAUUAAUCGCUAGGCCCAUGCCGAACGCCCGACUAGCGCCUAGCGAUUUUUCAAACAAGGGAUAUGACUAUCAUUUGAUAGCAUUUAAAAAAUGCUAAGAAGGGAAAUGAUUAAGUGGGAAACAAAAAUUUACUUGGGAACCUAAAAUUAUUCGGUGCCAACAACACUUAGCUAAAUAUAUUACACUUAGCCACCGAAUUAAAUUAUAAAAGAUAUUAAAAAACAAAAAACUGUUUAUAGAGAACAAAUAAUUGUCUCGCUCUCUCACCUUCAACCUUAAAUCCCCUUUCUCCAUCUCCAAGUAGACGGCAAACUAAAAUCCCAAAUUUAUCGAUAGCAAGCCCAUACUUUAAAGCUUCUCUUCUCCUCGCUAUCUUCUCCAAGCUGUUCUUCCCGAAGCUUUUGUUCUGAUUUCUCCAAGCUUCAUGACCAUGGAAUUCAACCUGCAAAACCAAAUCAAGACCUGAAAACCUUAGAUCUACAUAUCUCUUCUUGUCGUCGUGUUCCUUAGUAAGUCUUCCUCGUUCUUCUUCUGUUUUAUAUAUUUAGGUUUACAUCAUCAAAUUGUUUAGUUUCACACUUCACCGUGAGCGGCGAGAGAGAACGCUGGUAAAAAAACUUCAUAUCGGAAAAUUAGACAAACCCUAAAUCGACGAAAACGAGGGAUCUUUGGAAUAGAAGCCUAAUUUGUUCAUAUGAUGAAGAAUCGAUGGUCUAAUUUUCACCAGGUUUUCAUCUUUCUUUAAUCUUAGGACAUCUUUAUUGUGACCCUCAAGUUGUCCAAUUCAAGUUCAUCUCUGUCUUUGCAGAUUGGGUACUCGUUGUCUUUGCAAAUAGGAAGAAACUCUUUCUUAGCUGCUUCCACUGUUUACAUUUCAACCGAAUUCAGCUUCUUAAAUACUUCUCUUUCCAAUCAAAGAAGCUUCUGUUUUGCAGCAGGAGGUAAUGGCUUAAUUUGGUUUUGUGAUAAUUCCAAUUGUUCUUGCAUAUAUACAUGAAUUGGUUUAGAGAUUGUAACGAAAACUAUGUAUGAGCUUUUGCUUGGUGGUAGUGGAUAUUUGUUUAUGUAGAGAAAUGAUAAUCAAAUUACUUUUCUGAUAAUCAAAUAAUUUGUUUGAGGAGUUUUGCUGACCAUGUAAUUUGAAGUUUAGAUCGAUCAGCUUUGUAGUGUUGAAGUCGGAGGCCGAGUUCAACAGUGCACUGAGCAAAGCUAGAGGUAAAUAAACAAUCUCUUGUGUUUACUUUGUUAACUACUUCAGAAUUAUAUGAGUUGCUUAGUAUGAUCAGCUCUUCUUUAUCUUCUCUUGAUGUUAUCCAUGUUUCAGAUGGAUCUUUGCCAUCAGUUUUAUAUUUUACUGAUGCUUGGUGUGGACCUUGUAAGUGUUAUUUCCUUGAGAGUGGCUUUAUUAAUUUGUGUAGUAGUGAUUGACUUUAGGAAGACUUAAUCUCUCUUGUGAUAUUGGAGCUCAGUAAUAAAUAUGCUGAUGUGACAACGUAUUUGACAUUGAGGAGGUAUGUUUGCAUUUAGAUAAGGUCGACUUGUAGUGAAUUUAAUAUUGAAAGGUAUAGUAUUUUUUAAAGAAUCUCCACUAAUGUGGUAAUCCUUGCCUUUUUUUAAUUCUGUCUCAGGUGCAAAGUAUAAUCUUCACUGAGAAGUCAUGUGGUUCUUUGUUGAGACUAGACUGCAAGAAGAAGAUUAGACAAGAGUAUGAGAAGAAGAGGAGAAGCAGAUCGAUCUUAGAAGGAAGAUGCGAGCUCAUUUUACUUGUGGCACUUGUUGUCUUAAUGUUAGUUAAGACUUGUAGUAUAUGUUAAGGAUUGAGGUUUAUAUAUAAUAUAUAUACUAAAUUUUGUGCAAAAAUAGGUUCCUUGCAAAUGUGUAACAAACUAUUUCAAACCAAUAGGUCUUAUAUAGCAACACAGAAUAGAGCUACUAAACAAUAUACAUUAUGAUCCAUAAAAAGAGCUGCGGAACAAUAGUUCAAUAACCCAUAAAAAGAGCUACAAAAUAAAUGGUAUAACAUAAGUUUUGUGCUGCAAGAAAGGAAACCUUAGCAUUUAUUCUACGCUAUGAUGUGUGAACAUAUAAUAGCAGAACAAAAAAGCGCUAUCAUAAGGCCACUCUAAGAUAGCUCCGGCAAACACAGCGUUUAUGAAUCCGCUAUAUAAACGAUAUCAUAGCGUUUUCCGUGUGUUAAGAAUGCCCAUAUUUCUUGUAGUGAUAGGGAUAAAGAAACAUAAGAUUGAGACCGUAAGUGUGAUAUAUACCAUAUUUGUCAUGCAGAUCCCAAAUUUUCUGAAAACGGCUUCAGGUUUUUCGAUCUUCAUCUCUCAAUUCUUAUAUCACCAGUUUCUUAAUGAAAAGUUGUCAUAUACGUCUAAAUCAUAGAUCAAUUCCCUUCAAAACUAAAGAUAAAUGGGAUGCAAAUAUUUACCUCAACAAAAAAUAUCAAUGGUAGAGAAUUUAAGAGAUACAUAAGAAGUGAGUAACAGAGCGCCAGAAACAGUAUUAGAGAUCCUGAAACCGUGAAAGU